UACGGAGGAUGCAAGCGUUAUCCGGAUUUAUUGGGUUUAAAAGGGUGCGCAGGUUGUUUGAUAAGUCAGUGGUGAAAGUCUGUCGCUUAACGGUAGGAUUGCCAUUGAUACUGUUAGACUCGAAUAUGGAUGAGGUAGGCGGAAUGUGUAGUGUAGCGGUGAAAUGCAUAGAUAUUACACAGAACACCGAUUGCGAAGGCAGCUUACUAAUCCAUCAUUGACGCUGAGGCACGAAAGCGUGGGGAUCAAACAGGA
This 255-nucleotide ribosomal RNA is filed under the name uncultured prokaryote. RNAcentral describes it as "partial 16S ribosomal RNA". It matches the Rfam family "Bacterial small subunit ribosomal RNA", at positions 524 to 777 of the family's 1533-position model. The record is from RNAcentral.